AUAAAAAGUGCCCGGAUUUUCCUGGGCGUCUGCCCCGCCCCUUGUUUUACUGUCAUCCCCAGAUAGAGAGGCGACAGGGUUAAGGGAAAGAGGACGCCAGGUGGAUUAAGGCGCAAAGUAAAGUGGUCUUUUUAACAGCCGUCUUGUGUCUUCCCCAGGGUCUCUGUUUGAGUUGAGCAUCAGAUUAACAGUGUCCCCUGGUUGUCAGCGAUGGGGAAGCUGAAAGAAAACAUCCUCCCAGACCCUCCAGGAGCUGAUCAGAAACAAUCAGGUGCCCAGACCAAAGGAUAUGUGCCUUGACCCGGGAUCAAACCUGCAGCCUCGCGGUGACCUGGACAACACGCUCUGACCAGCUGGCGUCCCUGCUUCCGUCCCCAGCAGGCGCCUCCGACCCCCUCCCCAGCAGCACGAGCCUGCUCUGCGCCGCGGCGUUCCAACCAGAGUAGCCAGAUGUAACAAAUAAAAAUACGGACGCCCAGUUAAAUUUGAAUUUCAGAUAAACAAGGACUAAUUUGUUAGUGUAAGUUGCAUAUCCCAUGAAAUA
Molecule: long non-coding RNA, 544 nt
Organism: Artibeus jamaicensis (Jamaican fruit-eating bat)
Lineage: Eukaryota; Metazoa; Chordata; Mammalia; Chiroptera; Phyllostomidae
Exons: 3
Source: RefSeq, a predicted model, not a curated record